GCGCUGCGGGCCGAGGCAAACGACCCUUCCCAGAGGCAAAUCCCAGGAGCGGGGGGCAGGCUGGCACAAAGCUGUGCAGCAUCGUAACACACAGACCACCUUGUGGUCUGCCAGACCCGAUCGGCCAAAACCAUCUCCAAGCUGGCGUACCAUAGCGGCGUGGUGAUCGUGAGGUGCCCGGGCUGCGGGAACCACCACGUCAUGGCUGACAACCUGGGCUGGUUCUCGGACCUGGAGGGGAAGCGGAAUAUCGAGGAGAUCCUGGCAGCCAAAGGGGAGAAGGUGAGACGUGUGGCUGGUGAGGAGGCCCUGGAGCUGCUCCUGGAGAGCUCGGCAGAGACCGGGUCCGGAGGGGAACCCGCGGAGGGAGAAGGUGGGGAAGUGCCCCCCAAGAUCGGCAGCAAGGGGCAGACCUGACAGUUGGGGCCUGUGUCAUCCUGCUGAUGGCGAGAGAGACUCUUAACCUUUAUUCCUUGAUUUCAGUGGUAUGUAUUUAAUAAACUGGGGUUUUGGUCUUUCUCUGUUGUGUGUCUUGUGCAGUUUUGCCUUUGAGCAGGCUGAUGUUUUUAGGGAUGGAGCCUGGAUGUUUGUCUUGGUACUUGUUCUGCUGAUUUAAGGCAAGCUUCGGUGCUUCAGCAGAGUCAGAGCUUUGUUUUCUGCUGAGAAAGGAACCUGUAGCUCUUGGUCUCUAUUAGCCUAAGGAGGUGCAGCUGGGCUGGAGGCUUCAGCCAUGGCUCCUGGCCUUGCCCAGGUGCUGCUGCAGAGCUGAUGAGCAGAAGAGACAAUUGGUACCACCUGAAGAGAUGGCCAGACCCUGUGUGUGCUGGCAAAGCCAGAGUGACCCCGCAGGAGGCUCAGAUUAAUGCCUGGUGCUGCUUUGUCCUUCCCUCGCCAUCCUCCAGAGCCCUGCUCCGGUGCCCUGGUGUCGGGGCUGAAAGCCUGGUGUGUUUGUGGGUGACAGCGUGAGCCGCUGCCCCCGUGCUGGGGGAUCCCACUUGGCGCUGAGCGGCCCCGGCGCUGGGUUAUGCAAUUCCGUGUGGCUGAGGGGGAGGAUGGGCGUGAAGGCAAGAUUAAUAUUUCUUGAAGCACGUUGGAGAUAAGUAGAGCACCUAGAAAGUUGUCUGAAGAGUUACUUGACAGUUAUUGAGCUUAUUAACGCUGCUGCUGCAUGUUAAAAUCAGCUAGAAGAAAAAAUAAUACUGUAAUAAAUGAGGAAUGUAGGAGCUUAUCAGCAUGUAGCACUCGGGUAGCGAUGAAUCAGGCAGGAGGUGAUCACACUGUGCUUUGCUAGAGCUUGCUUCCUCUGCCUGCAUGAAAGUUUAACUGCUCUUGAGGUCCAUUAGCAUGAAGCACAGUGAAGUAGCUGCUUUCUAUGGUUUUAAACUUGCAAUCAAAGAGUAAUUCCAGUUGGAAGUGACCUCUGGAGGUUUCUAGUCAAACCCCCUUGUUCAGAGGAGGAUGCUCAGGGUCUUGUCUUGAAUAUCUCUGAGGAUACAGAUCCCACAACCUCUUUGCGCUCCUGUUCUGGUAUUUGGCCAGUAACACUAACUGAAAUUCCCUGUGUUUUGGCUUGCACCGUUACCUUCUUUCCAAACCCUGUCUCUGUUCUCUCUGCCCUCCCAUUAGUGAGCUACAAGAGCAGUAAAAUCCCUCAUAGCCUUCCUGUCUCUGGGCUGAACAAACCCCAUUCUUUCAGCCAAGCACAUCCAGGUGCUCAUGCUCCUUAAUCAGCCAAGGAUUCAGCAAGGGCCUUGCAGGUGUUAAUGGGUUUACUUCAUCUGAAGUGUUCCUGGUAAGUUUAUAUGUGUGGCAGUAUAAGCACGGAUCAAACAGGAAAGUGGUUGAGUGUUCCUGUUAUAUGGAAGUUCAGAGUGAUGGAACAGCAUUGAGGGGCAGGAACUUUGUCCGUCAGCUGCUCGUGUGUGCUCAGAUCCUGGUGAAGCACAGUGCUGGGGAACAGCUUGGUGCUGCAGUGACCCAGGGGUGAGUUAAGCAGAGUGUUGCAGCCUGGCCCAGCGCCGGGCACUCAGCGCUGUGAGCUGUGGGCACGUGUUUGCUCUGCUGGAGCAGGGAUUGUUUCGUUACCUUUUCCCUGAAAAUCAGCGUUGUGCUUCCCUUGUGCUGGUGCUUUGCUCGUGGCUCAGAGCAGCUGUGCCAGGAGCCGGGUUGCCCUGGAGACACUUAAUUUACAACCUGACCUUUUUAUGCUGGUUUUCUUUACCUUUCUGACCUGUUCCUGUGCCCCAGCUAUGGAAAGGUGGGGAUAGCUUUUGCUGUGUAAAAUGCUGCUUUCAGCUGGAGAAGUGAGGGUUGUUGUGUGCAGGAAUUUGCAUGUAACACAGAAGGAUUUGUGGCUCAUGGACUGCAGAUUAAAAAAAGACUUUUGUGCUGCCUUUUGAAGCGGGUUUUUGUGUCUCGGGGAAGUGGGUCUGGGCUGAAGGAGGCCCUGGAUGAGCUCACUUUGGCUGGGAGCAGCCUGGCAGGCUGGGCUUUAGGGAGCAGGGAGAAGAGAAGCCUUUCUGCUCACCUGGAGGUGUGUCAAGAUGAGAAGAAAGCAAGAGGAAGCCUGUGCAGCAGAGAGCGACUGGUGGUGCAGCCGAGCAGGUGAGUCUUUGUGGCUUGGAGGAGAGGAGGCGAUUUCAAGGGAGGCAAAGUGACCUUCACAGAGUGGGCAGCAAACAUGAAGUGUUUGCAGGUUCCUUGAAGCAUUUCACUGGCUGUCAAGGGAUGGAGCCUGAAUCUUGUCCCACGAGGGGUUUUCUGUAAAACACCAAAUACUUUGCCUCUUGUUUUGCGCCUCUGAGCAAACCCUCCUUUUGUAAUGCAGCCAGAUCCCAGAGUUAGUCUGGCUGCUGUGGGACUCGGGGGGUUGUGUCUCUUUGCUGCUGGGGUUACUGGUGGCGUGGCCCAGGCCCUGGAGGCAGCGGUGUUUGGUGAAGGUGGGGGCGAUGGGGGCUCUGUGGGACUUGCUGAGGGAAGGCCUGUGGCAGGCCAAGACAAGGGGAGUGGGCUGCAGAUCCUCCUUGUCUGGGGCUACCUGACAUAACCACUUCUGCUUUCUGCUACCAGGGUGCAGGAGCAUGUUGUGUAGACCGUGCAGGACUCCUGCUGCCCCGCAGGGAGCCGGCAGCUCUGCGCCCUGCCGUGCGUGCGGUGCUGCGCUGCGGGGGCUCGGCUGCACCGCGGAGCCACAUGGGAGCUGCUCCAGGGAUUUGCUGCCUCGCUGACAGCGAUGGGGCAGGGCUCAGGAUCCAAACCUGCUGCCGCCGGACGCGCUUCCUGGUGAAGCCCAAGGGCCUGUUCAUCCCCCUGCGCUGGAAGGAGCUGGUGCUGCUGCCUGCUGCCCCGAACAGCUCUGCUUGGGCAGAACUCGGUCCUGGAGCUGCUCAAGUCCAACAUGGUGAAGAGAAAAUAAAAUACUCCACAUCCUGAAGUUUGAUGCCUGUUCCCCUCCUUGCUGGGCUUCUCCAACUGUUCGGAAAGGGGAAGGAAUAAGGAACAAAGCUGAGCAGGAUGUUCCGAGGAAGAAGCCGGAGCAAUUCGUGACACAGGCAAGACAUGAAGACUUCAAACUGGAAAAGGUGCUUUUCUCUUCCCCUACUAAAUUAAAAGUGUUGUGGAAAUAAAGACAUGGAGGCUGGAGUUAA
Molecule: RNA transcript, 3647 nt
Organism: Strigops habroptila (Kakapo)
Lineage: Eukaryota; Metazoa; Chordata; Aves; Psittaciformes; Psittacidae
Gene: CARD9
Gene name: caspase recruitment domain family member 9
Exons: 6
Source: RefSeq, a predicted model, not a curated record